CACAAUAUACGAUAAACGGAUCUAAUUGAAGGAUUUCCAAAAUUCUCAUAAGAUCCAGAGAGGUAGGAUCCGGAGAGGAUCCUCGUUCAUAGGAGUCAAUCCCAGACCCCAACGCUUUAAUGUAAAAUAUGGUGAUAUAUGAUAAAAAAAAUAAAAUAAACAGAAGAGUGUUGCAAAGUUGAAUUAGUCUACCAAAUCACAAUAUCCCGGCAUGGCGAUGGCACCAUACCGCUUUAAUUCUUCUUGCAAGAGAAAUGGAAUGAAGCACCUAUACAAACUACAAUUUAUUUAGUUUCAUAGUGAGCAUGGCGGUUGACUAUCAAACUAGGCAAACUUUUUAAUAGGUACCGAACAUAUAAAAAAGAAUUAUGCCACCGAGUAUCAUCUGUAGCUUGUCAGUACCGCAUUCCUUGCCUCCUGAAGGAGAAGGGGGUAGUAGCCCUGCAUUCUCGGUCACGCUGACGAAACAGUUUGAAAAAAAAACGCCUCGUUUGGCACACCGUAUAGAGCACCGGUUGUUUGGUGCCCUCCUGUAUUAAAUAGUCACCGGAUUAAUUUAGUCAGUCUGCCUAUUUAGUAGGGUAUACACCUGCAUAAUAAACCCUUCCAAAAGGAGUGGAUUAUUAGUCUGGUUCCCUUCCCUCUCUUUCGCACUUCGUUCUCCAAGACACCUCCUCUCACCGACGUUGUUCUCCCCGUCUUCGUUCUUGUCGGCACCGCAAACACCUAUGACCGCCACGUCCUCCUCUGCUACAAGAGCCCCGAGGCCUAGCCGUAGCGCGUCGAAGGCUCUGAGUCCUAGCCAUCACACAUCUUCCUUUGGGCUUCUUCUACAACUGGGGAGAGAUUCUUGACUGAAAUUGUAAGGGAAGAAGAAGAAGGAAGAGGGCGGGACGGAUUUUGGGGUUGCGGCGGAGAGAUCUGGGGAACAAAAGAGAUGAUUUCAUUUCUUCUGCAAUUGGGUCUUGCAAAGAAACAUGGAGUAUUUGCAGAGGUUCUUGACUGAAAUUGCAGGGGAAGAAGAAGAAGAAGGGAGAGAGGGAGGGAGUUUGGGGGGUGCGGCGGAGAGAUGGGGAACAAAAAUGAUGAUUUUUUUUUUUAAAUUUUAAUUUUAUUUUAUUUUAUUUAAAUAAAGGAAUAUUUUGUUUGAAUUCCUCAUAUCCGGUAUAAUACCAAACACACUAUAAAUAAUACGGUUAUUAAUCCGAUACUGCACCAAACGCCCGACUAAUUUAGUUAGUACUAUCUGGUGGCUAUUUAUCCUAUCUGAUAGAAAUAAACAGUACAGUUCGAGCUGCCAAACAAGGCCAUAGCCUUUUAGGAAACGUUACGUUAAAGAUAAUGGAACUAACAGAUUUCUAGAAACAUCAAAUCAAAUAAAGAACUGAAACAUAUGAAGUAGGUCGAGAAACGUUUCACUUACUCUAACGUAAGGUUUUCGUUAUUUGAAAGAGAGGUAGGUGUGGAUCCAGUGAGUCUGUUCCCUGACAAAUCCCUGAGAAGAAUUUGAAAAACAAAAGACAGGUGUUAUCGAAUCCGGCCCUAUAGUGCUAGCUACUACGGUUGUUUAAAUCAUUUAAAUCAUGAAACUCACAGUAGUUCUAGAUUAGGUAAGGAGCCAAGGAAAUCCGGAAUAGGUCCAUUCAAGCUGUUGUUGUGAAAAUCACUAUAAAUCGAAAGAGAGAAAUUCAUUAGAAUCUUAAAAAUUAAUUAUUAGAUCAAUGCAAUUGUUUACGGAACAUUUGAAUAUAUAAUUACAUACAACUCACAUUUCCAGCAGCGCAUCCAUGGAUCCAAAGUCUGGAAUUGGGCCAGACAAGCGUUGGCUGCUGAGAUUCCUGUAUGUUUUUUCAUUUUCGACAUGAUCAGAAGUUCAAUUAUAUGUAUAUAAGUAACUGCAUAUGUAUUGAUCAAAACUGUUUCAUUUCGACAUGAUAAAACUUGGAUUUUACCUGAUAAACUAUACAUUUAGAAAAAUUGGGUAGUAAACAAAGAAAGAUGGAGAAAAGUUUAUAUAUACACUACUUACGAUGAUGUUACACGACGACCGGUAGUAAAAUUAGUACAUUCAUACCAGUUCACUACUAACGAGGCUGAAAGACCAAGGAUCACCAUUAAGUUUAUCUUGCGUAUCAUAUCCUCUUUCCAGUCCUUCAAAUACACUUCCCAGUUUUUCUAGCCCUUCCACUGAAUCAAUUAUGAGGCACAAAAAUAUUAUAUAUCAGAUGAAAUAAUGAAUGUCGAAGAUACAAAUACACAUGUUAAUUGAUUAAAUGAAAUGGGAUUAAGGAGUAGAAAAAUAAUUAACCAUCUUUAGGGUUGGUGAUUAGAGGUCUAGUGAUAGUAUAUAAUUCAUAGGCAUUGACGAGAGGAGGCAAGGAUGAGGACUGAGAAUACUUAUCCAUCCUCUUAUCGAAAGGAGUGGUUGUUUCCUUCCACUCCACAGUAUACAUGAAUUCAACAUCAACUUCUUUAUCCUCAGUAAGGUCAACCAGUGCAUUUGGAUCUGUUCGAAUAUUGACUUCAAUCACGCGUUCUUUGUUAUAAUAGAGAUCAAAAUGAAUGUGCUCAUAAAGGUAGGUCUUGUACUCGCUCGGGUCUUUGCCUUCCUUGUCAACCUUCCCUAUGAAACCCCAAGUGGGCAAGUCAUCAUAAUACAUCUGGAAGUAAUAGUCCUUGUUGACAGCAGAUCUGAACCGGGCUACUUCUUCCUUUGUGAGUGUUUUCUUGCAAGCUACUUCGGUAUCUUUAUGCCUUAGGAACUCAAGUUUGUAAGGGGCACUGACUAAACGAUCCCCAUUCAAUGCUUCACCAAGAGCUUCCCUUUUCUCUUUCACCGCAUCUGCAAUUAGGAUCCAAAUAAUUAGGUAAAUUCAAUUCGUCGGAGAACAUGAACACGUAUUGUGAAGGAAGUAAAUAUGAAAGAAACGAAUCGAUUUGAUACAAACCUGGUGAGCAGAAUGGGAGAUCAAAGUAUCGGUACGUUUCACUGGAAGCACCCAAAAAAUACAAAAAGAACAAAAAUUUAGACCAACAGGAACACCAAAUUUCCACCAGAAUCAAACUAACGUACAAUUUAUUAUCUAGUUUAGCAAAAACAGAGUUAAGCUUCGAAGAACAAUACACAUGCUAUUUCGACGAAAAGAACUUGAUGGCAAAUGACUUAAGAACCCAAAUCAAAUCUUUUAAAAAACAGAUCAAGCUCUGAUAUUUACACAUAGCCAAUGAAAAUUCAAUUUCCAAAUCACAGUGUCUAGCUUAUACCAGUUGAACCAGAACUUGUAAAUCAUGCAAAUUUUCUCAGUAACCAAACAAAUGGGUGGGAAUAAACUCAGAUCCAUAACAAUUAACAGUGAAAUGAACAACAAACCCAGAAGCUGAAUUGAGCUAAGAAAGCAUGGACCUUUGAGAUCGAGCAGGGUGGAGUGUUGGGGUUUUACCUGGGGUUGUGAAACGGGCCGACCUUGUUGGCAUACAGAGGGACAAAAUCUCCUUCCUUGUACCGAUGAUCGGACCCGUCGGACCUGACUAGAUCCGCACCGGACAGAAUUAGCAAGGCGAUGAUGCAGUGUACUCCCACCGCCAUGGUCUUCCCCAUUCUCUCUCUCUCUAAUCUCUGGAAAGACAAGACAACCUUGUUCAGUAUAUAUAUUUGAUUUGAUUUCCUGGGUCUGGUUUGGGUCUUUGGCUUAUGUAUUUAUUUUUGGUUUAAUGAAAUAUUAAUGUUGUCAUUUAAUCAACGGAACUUUAACGAAAAGCACCCGUACUGUUCAUUUUAACGAAAAAUCACAUUUUUACACUAAAAAAUCAAUCUUGUUACUAUUCACUUUACCUUUUAUUUUGUCCUUAUCAUUAAAACUCAAAGUUUUCAAGCCAUUUUCAUUAGUUUUCCUUUUAAUUAAUCAAAUGUGUUAAGAUUUAUAGACUUGGAAUUUUUUUUCUAUAUUGUAUGCUUAUUUACUAACAAAAUUAGAAGGCAGAGAAUUAAUAAUCACAUAUUAUUUUGUACACUUAAUCUGUGUACAAUAUUUGUUCUAUUUAUUCAACUUGACAAUCAUAAAUAGAAAAGAACAUGCAAAAAGAAAAAGUUACCAAAAAAAACACGUUUUUAAUAUUAUAAUUUGUAACCAAAUGCUUGAAAAUUAUGAAACAUAUCAAUUGCAGGCUUGUGGUGACAAGGUUGUCUUUGACAUGAAAUUAAGAAAAUGUAACAUUUUCUUUUGUAUCUUCUCUGAUUUAUAACGUCUCUCAUUUAAAGCACGUAAUUGUAAUAAACAUGUUUGUUUUGAUUUUUUUUCUUGCACGCACAAAAUAAAGAAAAUUUUCACUUACACAAUGUAAUUAGUAAUUUAAUACUUAAAAAAUUAUGUAAUUAGUGGCGUGGCGGUCAGAACCUUCAACUUCAACUUAGUGUAUUAAUAUCGAUAGGAAAAAAUUAUAAACUGAAUUGAAUUGAAAUUAUUGAAUCACAAUACCGGUAAAUAAACAUUUCAUUAAUAUUCAAACAAAAUAAUUAUUAGUUAAUGUGGAAAUAAUUUGUUUUGUUUUAAUGUGAAACAAAAAAUAGGUGAACAAAGGUGACGGAGACGGGGGUGCCUCACCACGUCGUGAGAUGUUUGAUGCCUUAUCGACGCUUUGGUACCUACCUUAUGCCGUAGGGUGCGUCUCACGCUUCUCUUUUUCCAUUUCUUCUUUCUUUCUCUGUCUACGUGGUGGCACGUGAUUGGGGGGCUUUGUAGGAGUGAGGAAUCUGGUGGUUUGGUGGGCAACGCCUUGGGAUACACACACAUAUGUGAAAUGAACAGUGUUGAUACUCAUCGUUUUGUAAACCAAAAAGGACAUUAUUAUUUGGACAAGGAUGGUCUGCCCUUCUUGUUCCUGUAUCUUUCUGUAUCCUCCUGUUUUGUACGAUCACGGUUAAGCCAUGUCAACAUUUUAUAUUGUUUUUUUUAUAAAAAUAAUAAGGAAAAAAAAUAAAUAGUAAUAUAAAAUAUUAACGUGAUUUAACCGUGACCACACAAACAAAGGACAUGGAAAGACACGAGAACAGGGCAGACAAUCCUUGUACUUAUUAUUUUUCGAAUUCAUUGCUCUUCUUCCUCUUCCUCCAGAUCUGCGCUUUAAUUAAUGUCUUGUACUACAAGGCGAAGAAAUAGGAUUGUGUGGUGGUGCUGCUUCUGCUAUCUCAUCUGCGCUUUAAUGUCUUGUACAAAAAGGUGUACGUACGGUCUCCAUCUUAAAUGCGUUUCAGAAAUGAAACCUUACUCCUACUUUUUCUGUUUCCACAAAGUUUAUACUGUUCAUGAACAGCGAACCAAUGUCUGUAUUUUGCUUUUCUUUUAUUAAUUUAAUUUACUCACUUUUAUGAAGGUGCUGUAGGAGGCUUGAGAGUCUCGAGACAUGUCGAUGAGACCGACAGCGGAGAAGAAACAAAUAACAACAUCAUCAGCUUCAUCAAAUCCUCCUCCUCCUCCUUCAGUUAAGUCGUCGGCUCCUCCAAGUCCAAGAAGUAGUUCAAGCAGCAGCAACAAGUCCAUCAUGAAUCGGAAACCCCCAUGGCUCUUGCCCAUCCUUGACGGUAGGAACAUUUUCAUUUGAAUCAUUUUUCUUCUCCCUUCAACUUUUACUCAUAGACCUGGAGAACAACUUGCAUAAAAAGGGACCAUCAUUUGGCGUUUAGUUGAAUAAUACAAUGUUGCAUGAAAAUAAUUUACAAAUGAAAAUGUUGUAUUAUUGAAUUAAAAUGCAUACAAAUUCAUAUCAUUUAAGCCAUUCUCUAUAAUUCUCUUUUAGAGAAAACUAAUGAAAAUGACUUGAAAACUUUAUGUUUUAACGAAAAUUACAAAUAAAUGAUGAAAUGAAUAGUACCAGAAUUGACUUUUUAAUGUAAAAAAAUAAUUUUUUGUUGUCAAAAUAAACAGUAUCGUAAGUUUUUCAUUAAAAUUAUAUUCUUUUUAUCUUUGUUUUGGUGCACGCAUGAUUGAAUUGAACGACGUACUUGUGAUCUUGACCAAUCUACUUUAGUUUGAUUAUGGAUGAAAAGUUAAUGGAAAAGCUUAGGAGGGUUUUCGUGCAAGCACAUGUGAUGAUGGGAUGUGACAACUAACUAGGUAAACAUACGUAGCUUGGAGUUUACCAUCUUUGUCUGUUUGUCUGUCCAUCUUCCUUUGUGUUUGAAUUUCAAAACUCCAUCUGAUGAGUGGUGAGUAGUCUAGUCAGUAAGUAGUCUAGUCGGAAGAUAAAAAGGCCAUUGGCGUGUAAAAGUAUAUAAUUGAUUUUGUUUGAUAUUUAUUCGAGGCAGGAAGGAAGGCACCGACCUCUCUCUUUCAGAGUAACUCCAGCGUGGGCUGGUGCUCUAGGGAAAGGCGAUCAAAUAGGGCCAGAUUGCCCGAUUGAACUGCUCCACCGUGUGGCAGUCCGAGGGACAGGCUGGGUCGGAGCUGCGGGCCUAUGAGGAGUUGCCAGCCCGAAAGCAUGGGUGGAUAUGACGCAAGGGCUGAUGUCAUCCUAGUGUCAGCCUUAUUUUAUAUAUUUUUCUAUCAGGCGCAUGAGCCUCACCCGCACGUAGGGGCGCGUCAGCCGACAGAUUUUCAGAGGAUGGGCCCGCGUCACAGUCUGCCGAGGUUACCGUUGGGAAGCCAUGUGGCUUCCCACAGUCCGCUCGAUCUCAAUGGCUCUUUAAAUUGGACCGUCCGAUUUGCAAUGGUAAUAAAAAUAAAAAUAAAUCUUAUUUAAUAUCAACAGUUGGAUCUGAGAUCAACGGUUGAUAUUAUUCUGCUUUAUAAAUUUAAAAAUAAAAAAUAGAUUUAAAAUUAUGAAAAGUUACCAUUGUGCCACGUGGUACAAUCUGGAGUGUUGGAAUUCAAAUUUUUUAAAAUCCAACGGUAGAGAUUAAUUAGUUGAAUAAAAAUUUAAAAAAAAUUGUAAAAAAUCUGAAAAAUUUAAAAAAAAAAUUGUUUUUACUUUUCUAUAAAUACCUUCUCAUUAUCAUCUACCUUACACCACAAUUUCAUAUUUUAUCUACCCCAUUUGGCACAUUUGGGAGGGCUUCCACGAUGUAUUUUUCACUCUCUUCUUUCUUGGGAAUCAAAAACCUACGAGGAAAAAGGACGUUCGGAGGAAUAACAUUAGAAUGAAAUGAAAUUGGGACGUCUUUACUUGUGGUGGGUGGUUUAGAGGGCUUAAGGGGCUGCGACAAGGGUUGUUCUACCCUUUCCGUGUGUAUGUCUUCUUCCUCCUCCUCAAUCAGCAGCUCCUCAUCCACUUCUAGGCUAUGUUGGAUGUUUUUAGGUUAGCUCCAACCUCCAUAGCACUUCUCAAAGUGAUAGCAUCAUGGAUUUCAAAAUCUUCCUUCGAAUUUUCAAUAGUUAAGUUGGGGAGUUCACUUUGCUUUUGAAUUUGUGCCAUGAACUCCAUAAUCUGCCCAGUUUGCUUCUCUAAUUCACUCGUCUUCUUGGCUUGAUUUUGUAUCUUUUUGUUUUGAUUUUCUACUUUCUGAUUCAAAGAGGUGAGUAACUUAUUAAACAUAUCAUCAUCCAAAGACGUACCUGAAUUGAAUUGGGCAGAUUGUUGUGGUGACUGUGACGGUUCAUAUGGCCAGUGAUAGAACUUCUCUGAUGGCGGCAGAUAUUCUUCUUGUUGUGAGCCAUGCACCAAAGAGUUUAAUUCAUUAAGAAUUUGAUUGUAAUCUAUUGACGAGUCUGAGUUUGAUUGGGCAUAUUGUAUAUGAGGUUGUGGUGGCUGCGAUGGUUCAUAUGGCCAGUGAUAGAACUCCUUUUCUUGCUGCCAAUAUCCAUCUUGUUGGAAUUGUUGCGGUUCUCCACACAUGUAAUCUGAAUAAUCUCUCUAAUCCGAAUUGUAAGCGUUGGAAAAUAUGUUGUCCCCUGAUUAGCUAUAACCUCGGUAACCCCAAGCAUCUUCAUUCGUAGCGAAUUGAGAACAUUGAUGAGUUGGAUAUCCUUGCCCAUAGGACACACCAUAUGUAGGGACACUUUGCAUUGUGGUCCUUUCGGCAUAUUGUGACAAUUGAGAAGUAAGUUUCGCCAAUUGAGCUUGAAUAGUAGCAAAAUUCAUGUCUUACUUCUCUAGUACUUGAAAUCAAGGAAACAAAACUAAAUCAAAUAUCAUAAGUAAAAAUAAGAGACACAUAUAGAAACAAAGUCAGUAACUAAAACAAAAAAACAUGAAAAUAAACAAAAAGAAAUAACAAGGGGUUAGCAAAAUUGCUAAUCCCCGGCAACGGCGCCAAAAUUUGAUGCGAUGAAAGUUAAGCACUCAAAUUAAACCCUCUUUUGACAAUUGUAGUAUAUGUAUAAGUAAGGAUCGUUCUGGACUAGGGAUUAGGAGGGAUUGCUAAUCUAAACUAAUCUGACUUACAAAAAGAAACUUAAAAACACUUAACUAGAUUCUAUAGACUCAAAACACUUAAAAACACAAACUAAAACAAAUUCUAACUAAUUAGACACACUAAAGUAAAGGGGAUUGGGUUUUGGACGAAAAUAAAGUAAAACAAAACAGAAACUAGAACUAAACAGAUUUGCACGAAAUUGGUUGUUUUGGAUGGAUUAGUUAGAGGUCCGUUCUUCACACAUGACACGCUUGUACAUGAAUCGAUUUCCAAUUGCUUUUCAAUAAACUAUUAUGCUCAACACCCCAGAUUAACCGUGAUGCACAAAUUAACCCUCAGAUUUUCCUUUACUCAUUGAAUUGGAUGAAUGCAUGCGACAGCCCAAAUCAUUCUCUAAAAGUCCCCUAUAUGAAUGCAUAAUAGAGAUACAAUCAGAGAUCAUUACGUUCAAUGAAAAUCAUAAGUGUUGACGAGACAAUUAUAACUAUGAAUGCAUGAUACAAUUGCCAAGAAUUCAAUUAACGCGAUUGUGAUAAACAACCUUCACUACUCAUGAAUAUAAACUUGUAACGAUUAGGUGAAACUCAUUUAUAUUCUAGCAUCUAAUUCAUGCAUGAAAAUUAAGUAUGCAUCCUUAAUAAACAUACAAGAAUCAGUUGUGAAUAAAAUAGAUAAUUGAAUUGCAAUCACAACUUAUCAAAUAACAAUUGGAAGAAAUCAAUUCAUAUCUCAAGCAUGUUCAUGGCUUCAAACUUUCCCCUAACUAAAUAGGGGUUUAGCCACUCAUAAUAGCAACAAAAUCAGAAAAUGAAUUUAACAUUGGAAACAAAAGAAAGAAAACACCUAAACGCUCCAACGAUCCAAGUUGACAGCACGCACGUCCAAACACUUUCUUUUCCUUCCUUUGCUACGGCACAAGGUGUUGGUGAGUGUUUGAAUGUUUGUUUGUAUGGAGGAAUGGAUGUAAAUAUGAAUGGAUGUGUUUGGAUGAAGGUUGUAUUGAAAUAUGAGUGAAUGAUCUAAAAAAAUAUCAACUCCAUUUAUGUUACACACACUUCCUUUUAUAGAGGAAGUGCAAGGCAAAACAUGGGUAAAAUUGAGUGGUGUUGAAAUGAUUCAAAGGUGAAAGUGGAGUAAUGAUGCAAAGCAUGGGUAAAAUAGAGUGGUGAUGAAAUGAUUCAAAGUAAUGAUGCAUGAAAUCUGAAAUGAUGGAGGGAACAAGGAAUGGUGUAGCAAUUAAGUGCAAGGAGGGAACAUGGAUGAUGAUAAGGUAAUCUUGACUCAUGUUUCUUCUUUGGUUGCUGAGCUCUUUGUCAUUUUACAUUAAUUCUUCUUUAUUUUUAACACAUUCCAAGCCUCUUUAGUCUUCAAUUUCGUCCAUCCACCUUGCUCCAUGCAUGUGCUAUCCAUUCCAAGUCCAAAACUGCUCCAAAAUGCACCAAAAUGUACCUUAUUGCUUUAUAAGGCCUAUAGAUCUACAAACACACGAAAAUAGCUUAAAAUACAUAAUUAACUAAGAAAUAACAACAUAAAUGCAUGAGAACAAGCUAACUCAAUCGCAUAAAUAUGCUCAUAUCACUCAUAUGUAAAUAUCAGAAAUUCCAGCCAUACACAUUGGCGAUACCAACAUCAGAAAAUUUUCGCCAUAUUUAUCAUUAGCAAAACAAAUAUUAUAUUUUCCAGCCGUAACCUUCAUUGGCAAAAUAAAUAUCAGAAUUUCAAAUCAAACCAUCAAAACUGGCAAAUCAAAUAUCAGAAAUUUCGGCCAAAAUCAUUGGAAUUUCAAAUCACAACUACUCACCACUAUAUAUUAAACAAAUCAUAGCCUCGGGUUGUGAUUUCAUUCCCAUUCAUAACAUCAUCAUUUCUUCAUAAAUAAUAGUUUCCAACCAUAAUUAUCAUGGCCAUACAAUUUUAAAAUUUUUAGCCAUAAUCAUUAUUGGCAAAACAAUGAUUUCAUCACCUUUUUCUUUUAUCUCCAUAAGUAACUAGUAGACUGGAAAAAAUUGUAAUAUACCUGGCCAAUACACAUCACACAUUUAUCACUUCAAUAAUUCAUUCUUGCAGCUCACACAUGGAGCUUCUCCCUGGAAACAUUGGGUCUUUGUGCCCACUCAUCCAUUGCUCACAUUCCACGGCCUUUUCGCCCCGAAUCAAUAUUUCUCAAUGGCACAGGUACAAUACGACUUUUCCAUCUACUUGUCACAAUUUCACAAUCAUCUUAAUGUUCGAAAUUUUCAUAACGUAUAACACAAUAUCAACCAAAUUCAAGAUUAAUUCGAGACUUUACUCAAACAUUCAUCUUGGAAGCUAUACCAUGAAAUAUGAUAUUUUAAAAUUUUUCUUCUCCCAUUCAAUCAUACGAACACAACCAUUUCACAAUCAUCCAUAUCCAUGAUUUAUAUGAAAGGCAGUCUAACUACUAUUUGAAGUAAUAAUGAUGCAUCUAAAUUUCAUAUCACAUUUUCUAAGAUUAAAUAGAAAUUAACUGAACCGCUUAUUCUACGUACUAUCAACAUUCAUCGACAGAAACUCUGCUUCGGAAUAAGUUAGCACAAUAGAUGAGCUCAACAUAUCGAUACCAACCAAGAGCAAUGUCACAUAAGCAACACAAGGCUUCAAACCAACAAGAUCAAACGGUUAAGUCGCAUCCCGUUAAAGUUACACAUUACGUUACCCCAAACACCGUUGCAAGCCCAUCAAUGAAUUUCACGUUUAGUCGAACCCUGUAACUCUUAUUAAAUUCCUUCAUCCUACCAGUACAAGAAUAUAUCUACUUUAAAUUUUGUUAUUCAAUCAAAUAUCAUGCCAUCAAUCACAAGAACUCAAACCACUUAAUAUAAAAUUAUAAGACUAAGAUGGCAUAGUUCAACCGAAGUCUACACUUUUUAAGUUUCCAAACCCCUCAUGGCUAUCUAACAAAAGAAAUACAAAAUUGCAUAAACACUUCAUGGAAUUCGACAUGCGUGAAUCAUUAGAUUUCAGGGCUACAUAACAAACCACACGAUAUUCAAGAUUUCCAUUUCAUCAAUCAUAUAAAUCACUAUGGUUCAACAUGAUACCUUAAUCCAUAGCAUGUAACGUAUCAAAGAACCAAUGAAGCAUAGUAUUAUUCUCAAGCCACGUUGACCUACUAAUCUAUUCAUAAUAAUAACAUUCACAUCCCACAUCAUUCCACAAUCACUUCAAUUAAUCAUUUCCAUGAAUCAAAGACGAACGAUAUUAACGUCUAACUACGUUAAUCAAUCAAUGAAAUAACAUAUCAUUUCAUGAAUCAACGAUACACAAUUUUAACUUUUAACUAUGUUAGGCAAUCAAUAACAUGGUAAAUCCAAUUUAUAUUCACAAGGUCUAUUGUGGGUAAUUCUCAUUCACUCGAAUCUAGGGUUCUAGAUUAACUUUAUGGAAAUGAGCAAGAGCAAGGAUUCUGGACCACUCAAUGAAACUAAAAUACCAAGCUGCUUCUAGUAAUCUACCCAGACCUGUCAUAUGUACAAUCAUGCCUACAUCAAGGAGAUGGCACACUGGGCAAAUCAGACACUCGGGUAAGCUACGAAGCUCGAGUGAGUGACAAUAAUACAAGUAUGUGAUAUUCAAUUAAAACAGACCAUCAAUCACAAUCUAUAAACAUCAAAUAUAGAAUCAGGCUUUAUGGAAUCAUAAUCAAGUCGCUGAAAACUCCGUAGGAGUCACCCAGACAUCCAACGGUUUUUCUAAUUCAAACCACAAGAUUCUUAAAAACCAUUGUUCAUAUGUACAUUAAAAACUAGGGCUAGAGGAACGCAGUUCGGCCGAAGCCUACAUAUGUAACCAAACAGGAAGUGGCCCCCUAUCGCGGAUUAACCAAGCAGAACCACCCAUGCAGUAACCAAGUAGGCAGUGACCCCCUAUCGCGGAUUAACCAAGUGAGCCACUCCUACGCAUCUGUUAGGCAAUGAUCACUCUUAAGUGUGUGUGUGUAUGGCCAUACCAAAGAUAUAAGGAUCGCCUAUCACGGAUUAACCAAGCACGAUCCAUAGAAAAUAUGGUCCCCUAUCGCGGAUUAACCAAGCAGGACCAAGAUAACUAAGUAGGUAGUGACCCCCUAUCGCGGAUUAACCAAGCAGAGUCACACCUACGAAACUGUUAGGCCGUGAUCACCUAUCACGGAUUAACCAAGCAUGAUCACUCCUAAAGUAUGUAUGACCAUAAGAAUCGCCUAUCGUAAUGCAUCUUGCUAUUUAUUGUUUAAGCCUCACAUACUUGUGACUUUAAUAUCUGUAAUUUAAAAAAUAUAGACUAAAUAUACAUUUUAACAUCUCUAUAUUUUCACUUAUUUUUUUUUUACAUUUCGACUUAAAUAUUCUACUAAAUAUACACUUGUUGCUCGAUAAAUCGUAAAUCUACUUCCAAAUACAUUAUAAAGAUUUCCUUACUGCUCACGGAAAAUAUUUCAAGAAAAUAAAAAAUUUACAUUUUUUAAAGAAAAACGUGGAUGCUCACGGUUUUUAGUCGGUUUUGCAAAUUCGUACAUAAAUCACCGUUCAAUCUAUUUAUUUUCACAUUCUCCUUCUUGUUGGUGUAAACCUGUUUGGCAUUAUUUUGGACAUCACUACUAUUUUCUUCACUUAUUUUUAAUUUUUAGUUUAAAUAUUCUAUUAAAAAUACAGUUGUGGCAUAAAUCGUAAAAUCAAUUCCAAAUGCCUUACAAAAUUUCACUUAAUGCUCAAGAAAAUUAUACUGCAAAAAAUAAAGGAUUUGUAUUUUCACAACAUAUGUGAGUUUACACACACUCACGAUUUUUAGUCAGUUUGUAAACUCUUGCUAUAAUCAUCAUUAAAUAUAGUUGUUUUCGCCUUACUGAAACAUUUUUAAAUUAACUUAAAUCUUUCUCUUUAUAUUCUUGAGGGAGAAAACCCAUGGUUAGUAAUGGAGACACAUGGCACAGUUUUGGAGGAGGAUAAAGGUCGCAUUUGAUUAGGAGAAGUGAGCAAAACGGCUUCUUAUUACGGUAAUGUUAGAGAGACAAAAUUUCUAAAUUAAAUGACAUAAGAAUUGAUGAUUGGAUUAUUACUUAAGCGUUGAUAAACAUGCUCCUUUCUUAUUGGUGACAUAUCAUUUAGUUUGUAAAUUUUAUCUACAAAAUUUAGUCUCUCUAACAUUACCUAAAAAAAAUAUUGCGACUAAUACUAUUGGGUCAUUGUGUUUAGUAGCAAUAUUUUCAUUUUGGAUAAUGUUAGGGAAACUAAAUUUGUAGACUAAAUUUACAGACUAAAUGAUUUGUCACCAAUAAAAUGAGUACGUUUAUCAACGUUUAAGUAAUAAUCCAAUCAUCAACUUCCAUGUCAUUUAGUUUACAAAAUUUAGUCUACAAAUUUAGUCUUUGACUCUCCGUAGCAUUAGCUUUUUUUUUUUUUUUUAAGAAUGAGGAUCCUCUUUGUGAGGAUUCGGGGUUCCUUCAAUCGUGUCCGUUGAUCGUAUAUCGUACAGUCAGUUUUCGUCAAGUAAUAUUCAUAUUUAAUUUUAAAUAAAAAAAUUUAUAAUAAUUUCUAACCGCACGAUAUAUGAUGAACAAAUGUGAUUAGAAAAUUCUCAAGAUCCUCAUAUGAUCCAAAAAGGUAGGAUCCGGAGAGGAUCCUCCAAUUUUAGUCGACCCAGAAAAAAGUAGUAAAGGGCGUUUCCGCAGCAUCUAGUGGAUCAGCUUCAAAGGCGGAUUGAAUCGGUAAGAGUCAAUCCCAGACCUCAACGCCUUAAUGUAAAAUAUGGUGGUAUAUGAUAAAAAAUAAAAGAAACAGAACAGUGUUGCAAAGUUGAAAUAGUCUACCAAAUCAAAAUAUCCCGGCAUAGCACUAUACCGCUUUUAUUCUUGCAAGAGAAAUGGAAUGAAGCACUUAUAUAGAUUACUAUUUAUUUAGUUUCAUAGUGAACAUGGCGGUUGACUAUCAAACUUGGCAAACAUUUUAAAAGUUACUGAACAUAUAAGAAAGAAUUAUGCCACCGAGUAUCAUCUGUAGCUUGUCAGUACUGCAUUCCUUGCCUCCUGAAGGAGAAGGGGGUG
RNAcentral lists this long non-coding RNA (14384 nucleotides) under Malus domestica (apple). Its description in RNAcentral is "long non-coding RNA (MDOM_LNC006367)". The record is from RNAcentral. Lineage: Eukaryota; Viridiplantae; Streptophyta; Magnoliopsida; Rosales; Rosaceae.